Molecule: long non-coding RNA, 380 nt
Filed under: Homo sapiens (human)
Lineage: Eukaryota; Metazoa; Chordata; Mammalia; Primates; Hominidae
Description: non-protein coding LINC02006:8
Source: RNAcentral
AAAGCAGAGUUGCAUAGAUCAAGGUAUGUGAGAUUCUGAAAGAGGUAUAUUAAAGUCUCAGCAUGAAAGCAUAAAGGCCAUAAUGAAUGCAUUUCAAGAAUGUGAUCUCUUUCAGCAUGUCCACACCCUGCCUUCCACAUGUCACUACAGGAGAGGAGGAUGAGGAAACUGAGGCAUGGAGCAGUCCACGUGAAUGAGUCUCGUAGUAAGUGAUGGAACUAGGAUGCAACUCUCUGGUGUGAGUGCCCCACUCUGAGAGAUGGAAUCUCGCUCUGUCACCAGGCUGGAGUGCAGUGGCAUGAUCUCGGCUCACUGCAACCUCUGCUUCCAGGGUUCAAGCGAUUCUGCUGCCUCAGCCUCCCAAGCAGCUGGGACUACAG